RNAcentral lists this non-coding RNA (23 nucleotides) under Arabidopsis thaliana (thale cress). The record is from RNAcentral. Lineage: Eukaryota; Viridiplantae; Streptophyta; Magnoliopsida; Brassicales; Brassicaceae.
AUGGACUGGUGUUGGACGAGUUC